RNAcentral lists this long non-coding RNA (227 nucleotides) under Hordeum vulgare. RNAcentral describes it as "long non-coding RNA (HVUL_LNC009541)". Lineage: Eukaryota; Viridiplantae; Streptophyta; Magnoliopsida; Poales; Poaceae. The record is from RNAcentral.
GCGGUGGCCGCGAGCGCGGCGAGCGGGUCGCCCCCCAGAUCGGAAGANGCGGCGAGCUGGUCGCCCCCCGCCGCCGCGGCCAGCUCCGGCGGCAGCACGGACGCCGCCCACUCCCUCGCCGCCUCCAGCAGCGCCAUCCCCCGCUUCCUUCCGCCAACGGCCCGGGGGUAGGAGGCGAUGGGAGGCGCUCGUGGAGGCGCACCUACCACCAACUGCUGCUGCUGCUG